Rattus norvegicus (Norway rat) is the source of this 1315-nucleotide non-coding RNA. NCBI's taxonomy places the organism in Eukaryota, Metazoa, Chordata, Mammalia, Rodentia, Muridae. The record is from RefSeq and is a predicted model, not a curated record.
GAUCAGUGAAUCAGUUACAUAAUGCAGAGGGCCACAAAGGAAGCCCACCGGGUCAUGUGCUUCACGGGGAGUGGUGCAGCCGAGCCUAGUUCUCUGACUCUGUCGGGUUUCAGGCCCUAAUGGGUCUGUUGGCGUCAGGAGCUGUCUUCUUUGGAGGAGCUCACUGAGUGCAGGCUGGCCUGUCUCCACCAGCGGACUGGAAGAUCUAAUGGAAACCAGGAAGGAAUGGUGUUUGUGUUGGCAUCCAUGGGCCCUGUAGCCCUGCCAACUCCCACAGCAUGUGACAUUGUCAGGGGACUGGAGGUGUGAAGCAGAAGUCACCCGGAGAGGAUCAUGCUGCUGCCUGCUUCCAGUCACAUCAUAUGACCCUCUGCGGAUCGAGAGCUGAGAGCUUCCUCCCCACCGGCCCUUCCCCGGCACUGGCUCCACAUCUCCAGGAGUAGCAGCAUCGGAGUCUACUGAGCAGAGCCGAUCUCCCUCUGCCUGGCUUUCGGAAACUGAGGUCCCUACCUCCUGCGGCUGGACUCAUCUCCAAGCUUCAGUGUCUCUCUCCCGUCCUGUUCAUCAGCCUGGCUCUCGCUACCCUCACCUCAGAGCAGGCAGGGUCUCAAUAGGGUGAGCUGCUCAGGGGGCAUCUCCACUCUUGCCAGGCAAUCAUCUCUCUUGCAGCCCCUCCCCUGCUGCCGACUGUUCUUCAGGGAGAAGGCUCGCUGGCAGGGUGGCAGGCUGCCCACCAAUGGGGGCCAUGCCAAGUGUGAUGUGAUGUGUGCUGAUCCCUCUCCAUGCCUUGCCGAAGACCAGGGCUGAUGCACCCGCAGGCUGGGGAGCCUGGGCUGUUCUCUCAUCAUCACCCUGGGGGGGAGGAUGUCACAGUGAAUAGAGGGCUCCCUUGUGUUAUAGGUGGAAAGGCCAUUCCGAAAGUCUCUCCUAGACCCCUUAUGUCUGGUCUUGUGCCCCCAGUUUAUGGGGGCUCUGAGCACUAUUCAGGGUGUCAUAUUAGUUGUAACCCCAGUGGGAAUGGAGGGGCCGUGAGUGGCAGAACCUCCCACCCCAGCAUACUAAAGAUAUUUUCCUGUAUCCCCUGCCUAACUCUGUCUGUUGAAGUCUCAGGCUCCAGGAGAGAGCGUGAGGGGUUUGAGGGACAGAAGGAGAAACGGGCAGUGUUAAGCACAGCACCAGUACAGUUUGAAGAGUUCCUUUCUGUUCCCUUUCUGACAGGCCUGUCUGUGACGGGCUGUGCCAGGCAAGAGGAAGGCUGAGGACCUGGGGUAGCCCAUCAUUCUCAGAUAUAAUAAAUUCUUGAGAUUAUCAUGCA